ACGGGGGGGGCAAGCGUUGUUCGGAAUUACUGGGCGUAAAGGGCUCGUAGGCGGUUUGUCGCGUCUGCCGUGAAAGUCCGGGGCUCAACUCCGGAUCUGCGGUGGGUACGGGCAGACUAGAGUGAUGUAGGGGAGACUGGAAUUCCUGGUGUAGCGGUGAAAUGCGCAGAUAUCAGGAGGAACACCGGUGGCGAAGGCGGGUCUCUGGGCAACAACUGACGCUGAGGAGCGAAAGCGUGGGGAGCGAACAGGA
This 253-nucleotide ribosomal RNA is filed under the name uncultured prokaryote. RNAcentral's name for it is "partial 16S ribosomal RNA". It matches the Rfam family "Bacterial small subunit ribosomal RNA", at positions 525 to 777 of the family's 1533-position model. The record is from RNAcentral.